RNAcentral lists this ribosomal RNA (443 nucleotides) under uncultured fungus. RNAcentral's name for it is "eukaryotic LSU rRNA". The stretch from base 64 to 217 matches the Rfam family "5.8S ribosomal RNA". Lineage: Eukaryota; Fungi. The record is from RNAcentral.
GCCAGAGGACCCAACAAACUCUGUUAUUUUCAGUAUCUUCUGAGUAAAAACACAAUCAAUUAAAACUUUCAACAACGGAUCUCUUGGUUCUGGCAUCGAUGAAGAACGCAGCGAAAUGCGAUAAGUAAUGUGAAUUGCAGAAUUCAGUGAAUCAUCGAAUCUUUGAACGCACAUUGCGCCCGCCAGUACUCUGGCGGGCAUGCCUGUUCGAGCGUCAUUACAUCCCUCAAGUCCCAGCGGCUUGGUGUUGGGCUUCGGCCGUCCUCAGCGGCGGCCGUGCCCCAAAUACAGUGGCGGUCUCGCCCCCGGCUCCUCUGCGUAGUAGUAACAUCUCGCACUGGGACGGAGCGAAGGCCACGCCGUAAAACAACCCAACUUUCUGAAUGUUGACCUCGGAUCAGGUAGGAAUACCCGCUGAACUUAAGCAUAUCAAUAAGCGGAGG